AGAAUCAACGCUGGCGGCGUGCCUAACACAUGCAAGUCGUACGCGAAAGUCCCGCAAGGGAUGAGUAGAGUGGCAAACGGGUGAGUAACACGUGGGUGACCUGCCUUCGAGUGGGGGAUAACGUCCCGAAAGGGACGCUAAUACCGCAUGACAUCCUGCUUUUAGAAAAGCGGAGAUUAAAGCCGGGGAUCGCAAGACCUGGCGCUUGAAGAGGGGCCCGCGCCUGAUUAGCUAGUUGGUAGGGUAAUGGCCUACCAAGGCUACGAUCAGUA
Molecule: ribosomal RNA, 272 nt
Filed under: uncultured soil bacterium
Lineage: Bacteria
Description: partial 16S ribosomal RNA
Rfam family: Bacterial small subunit ribosomal RNA
Source: RNAcentral